Molecule: long non-coding RNA, 2659 nt
Organism: Bombyx mori (domestic silkworm)
Lineage: Eukaryota; Metazoa; Arthropoda; Insecta; Lepidoptera; Bombycidae
Exons: 3
Source: RefSeq, a predicted model, not a curated record
AAUUUUUUAUAUCCAGUAAACUCCAGUCGUGCGUCGGAGCGGACACACACACUUUUUUUUGGAGUUUACUCCUUUAGAAUCGAUUUACAUAUAUAGGCCCGGGGUAUGAAAAUUAUGGGGACCAAAAUCGUACUAGCAUGUCACACGAAAUGCGUUAUGCGCCUGAUUGGCUCCUGAUUGCGUGAUGCGUGCGCGCGCCAAUCAAAAUCGUACUAGCAUGUCACACGAAAUGCGUUAUGCGCCUGAUUGGCUCCUGAUUGCGUGAUGCGUGCGCGCGCCAAUCAAAAUCGUACUAGCAUGUCACACGAAAUGCGUUAUGCGCCUGAUUGGCUCCUGAUUGCGUGAUGCGUGCGCGCGCCAAUCAGGAGCCAACGCGCGGCCGCGUUAUCGCAGGUGACGCCGGGCUGCUGCGCCGGCAGUCCGCCACAAAGCCUCGUACUGAUCGCGCGUUUCUCUCAUUAUUGUAUUUUCAUAUAUUUGUUAGUCGUUUGUUUUGUGUCUCGUUAAUUUGUUAAUAAUCUGUAGUGUAUCGUGUUGUCGUAAUAUAGAACUAUUUCUCGUAUUGUUUCGUUUAAUUUUUUAUAUCCAGUAAACUCCAGUCGUGCGUCGGAGCGGACACACACACUUUUUUUUUAUUCUAAAUUAUAACUAUAAUUUAACCAGCAUAUUGUAGACUAUCAUAAACACAUUUGUUUAUAACAAAAAGUAAUAAAAACAUAUGUAGAUUUUUUUAAAUUGGACGUAUUGCUAUUUUUAUCCUAGUCGAAAUUAUGAAACGAAACGUUUUGACAGUCCGUUUGCCAAUAAGCAGUGAUCAGUUUCUUUUGUUUGUUUUUCUAUUGUUUACCUACUAUAUUAGAUGAUGACUUACCUCCAAAACGCUUUAAAACUUUCGUUUAUAAUUCUAAGUGUGCUUAUAAUUAAAGAGCUACAGUGAAAUAAAAUGAAUUCUUCAAGAAAGGCAGCACCCAUGACAAAAGAUGAGACGAUGAUUCUAGCAGAAUUUGUGGCGGCGAAAAAACAUUUCAAUAAUAAGGCAACAAAUGCCACAAACAAUAAAUUGAAGGAGCAGGCUUGGCAAACCCUUGUAAAUGAUUUUAAUUCGUCGAUUCGUCGUUUCCCACGAACUCCAUCGCAGCUUCGACUAAAAUGGGAAAACUUAAAGAACGCUACGGCAACAUAAGAAACAACCUUAGUAAGGCUGGAGGUGGUAAGGAUUGCAGAUGAAAUUUUGGAUAAAGCAUGCACAUUGUUGUAGGUCACACAUAAUAUUUUUAACACUUUUACAGCCAAGCGGAAACAAGAUGGAAGAAAAGAAAUGCAAGGCUAGCAUAGGGACAAUACAUUAGCAGAAUAUCUAAUAGCAAAAAAGAGACUUGACUUGGAAAAUAAAGAAAAGGAGAUUGUUGUAGCAAAAGUUAAGUUAGAUUUAGAUAAUUUAAAAAAUUAAAAAUUACUUAAAAGGAAUAUUAAAUUUCAUAAAUUAAGUAGGCAAUAAUAAUUUUAUGUUCGAUAGUUUUUUAAGUAUAUGUACAAAUUCUAAAUUAAAUAUCUUGUAUGUACUAACUACCAUGUAAUUAUCAUUUUGGAAAAUAAAAAAUAGUCAAAUUAUCUUUGGAGUUUAUUUUAUAAAUUAUCUUUGGAAGCAAUUAUUUAUAAGUACAUAGUUGUAUUUCAGAUGUAAGUUUUGAAAAAUUGUUACGAACAAUUAUAUUAUUUUCCUGUAAUGUAUCUGCGACUGAAAUUUCUGAUUCUAAUUCUUCUAAAUUCAUACUUCUGACGAUAUUAUGCAGCAUGGCAGCUAUAAUAACAGCUUGCAUGUUUUCUAGUUUUAAUCUACUUUUCAAUGAUAUACAGGGAGUCUUCUUUUACAAACACCAAUGCAUCUGAAAAUUAUACAUUAUUCGCUUAAAUUAUUUUACAAUACAGUAUAACAAGCUCUUAACUAAAAAAAAAGAUUACCUCUCUAUAGUAUUUCUUGUUUUAAUAUGUGAUUCAUUUUAAAUCGUUCCGAUUGAGUAUGUGGGUUAAUUAAUCACGUUAAAAGAUAGGGUUGUGGGGAUAGCCUCUAUCGGCAAGCAAAUAGCAAUUUCCAAGUCCACCUUGUUAUCAAUGUUCUCUUGAUAUGUAGAUAAUUUAUUAUAAUAGUGUCAUAUUAAAUUCAUAUAAACACCUAAAUAUAUAAUAUAAAUAAAUAAAAAUAUAAUAAUAAUAUAUAAUAAUAAUAAUAUAAAUAAGGUAAUAUAAAUAAGAAAUACCUUUUCAAUCGGAAUGGUUAAUUAUAGUUGUAUCAUGAGUAGACCCAGGCCAUCAAGCAACAACAUUUUGAAACAUCAAUGAUGCAUUGCACACAAAUUACACAUUCAAAAUACUCUUUUUCUAUUUCUAAAUUCCUCUCCUAUAUUUGAAUCUGUAACACAAAUAUAAAAUGUAGAGGUAUCAGUGUGUAAUAAGAAUGAAGGUAAAUAGCCUACCAGGUUAUUGUAUUAGUAUAUGAAUGUCAUUUAGGGCACCAUGGGAAUCCAGCAGUAUUAUAGAAUUCCUGUUGAGUGUGAUUUUGUAACACAACAAAAAUUAGGUAUAAUUUUGCUAUUGCUAUAAACAAAUAUAAGUUGUAAUAACGAGUACUUUUAUGGUUAAAAUUUAUCUUACCUUUUUG